Molecule: long non-coding RNA, 10910 nt
Filed under: Malus domestica (apple)
Lineage: Eukaryota; Viridiplantae; Streptophyta; Magnoliopsida; Rosales; Rosaceae
Description: long non-coding RNA (MDOM_LNC020033)
Source: RNAcentral
GUAUAAUCACUAAAGGGAGAAUUGAAAGUAAGUUUCAAUUCACAAUCGGUUUGAAAGAGUUCUAAUCGCCCACUACCUCGCUAAAAUGAACCUAAUGGAUCGUACACCGUGUACGGUAAAGAUUGAAGAAACAACGGAGAUGAGUAAGAAUAAUUAAAUGGUUUAAUUAUUUAUGGCAAGGAUUAAUUAAUAUGUUAAUUAAUCAAACGAAUAAGUUCGUUAAAAGACCACGGGAUAGUUUUGGGCCUCAAGGCCCAAUGGGCUUCGAACGUCAAGCCCAUUGACUUAAGUUGUAUGACAACUUAAUGACUAUUAAUUCACAAAGGCCCAAAAGCCCAAUAAAACCCUUAUGGCCGACCAUGUUAGAAGAAUGGCUUUUUGGUUCUUUAGGUCACUUAUUUGAAGGGACUAUAUAAAGGACUUUAUAGCCUAAAUUCAUUAAGGGUUUCUUUUUAUGAAAUUGGAGAGAACACAAAGCUCUCCUUUCUCUCUAAAGAGGCCGGCCACCCUAGAGGAAAUUAACUAGCAAUCUUGCUUCCUCUAGGUCACUCAUUUCUUCAUCAAUCCAUCCUUGGUGUGGAGACUUAGAGGUUCUCAAUUUUGGGAACUUGGAGAAUCUAUUCUUCCAUCCAAAUCCAUGGAUCUAAGAAGCAAUGAAUGAAGGCCCUCUCCUUGGGUGAUUAGCCUUUGCUUAUGCAAAGAGGAAUCUACUAAGGUAUAAAUUUCUCAACUCACUUUGUUUUGAGUUGAGUCUUGGUUCACCCAUCUACUUGGCUUUGAAUUUCAUGGGUAAUGUUUUGUUUUUGAGUGCAUGCUAGCAUGAUUCCGCAUUUAAUUGUUAAUUGCAUGCUUAUAGAUGUUGCUCAAAUGAACAUGUUUUCACAAAAUCAUCCUUCAAACCACAUUCACGAUUCAUGAAACAAUAACUGGUGGAAAUCAAUUCAUAUAAAACAUAUAAUCAUGGCUUCGAAUUCACCUCCAACUAUAAAGAAAUUAGUUCCUCAUGUUCGCAAUUAAACAAACAUAAUUUAAAUUAAACAUUGAAAUCAAAGAUAGAAUACACCUAAGGACGCUCCAGCAAUCCAGUCUUCUUGAAUGUCAAGCACGGCUCCAAGUUUCUUCCUUCUUCUCCUUCCUUAGCUGUGGCACAAUGAGGGAUUUAUGGUGAAUGGUGUAAUGAAUUGUGGUAGAGGGUGGUGUUUUUUAAUGGUAGAGGGUUGUGUACGAAUUUUGGCUGAAAAACUUAUAUUUAUAGGCUUGGGUUUUCAUAAAUCCUAGUGGGAAAAGGCUAGGGUUUUGUAGAAAAAGGCUUGGCCCAAUCCAAGGUGGAAAAGAACUAGGGUUUGUGGUAGAUUUUUAGGCUUCUAGAAAGAGAAUAGGCGCCACUUUUUUUAGGCUUCUAGAAAGAUCAUGUUUUGUAGCAGAAUUGGGACUUCUAGAAGGGUUUGGGGCGCCACCUUUCUAGGGCUUCUAGAAAGGUGGAUGCGGCAUGUGUUUAAGGGAAGAUAUAGGCCUUCUAGAAGGGUUUUAGGUGCCCUUGCAGCUGAUUAUUCAUCUUCCAAGUCUUGAAUUGAUUUCUCCAUCUCUUUAGCACGUUUCUAGCUUCACUUGAUCUUCAAAAAUGCCCAUUCCUUGUGCUCUACAUGCAUUCAAUCCAUUCCAGCGCAUAAUUGCUCUAAAAUGCUUCAAAAUGCACUUUCUUGCCAGCUUUGCCAAUUAGACCUACAAACAAUCGAAAAUAGCUUAAAUCACUAUAAUAAACACAAAGUAACUAUGAAAAUGCAAGAAAACAAGCUAAUUACGUCGCAUAAAUAAGCUCCUAUCAACCAUACAAGGCAAAAACCUAUUAGUUGAAAUGGGAAUUGGCAUUGGAGGUGGUGUCUCACUAAUGUGGUGCAAUGAAGUGGCAACACUAUCAACAGAUGAACAAGGGGUGCUCUCGGCCAGAUUUAGUGGUAUGAUGGUUGUGGCGUGUCCCUUAUGCUUUACUCUAAUUCCCUCUUCAUUGGUGCUUCAAAAUUCAUCCCUCUUAAUUGGUGUUGAAUGUUCCUGCCCUAUAACUUUAAUUACAUCAAUGGGAAAACAAUAACGAACAUCAUUAGCAUUCUCAAUAGAUUUAGUAUUUUUAAAGUUAAUCAUAUCGCCACCAAACGCCAUUGUCAACGCUCCAUUGGCCACAUCAAUUUUGGUUUAAGCUGUUUUCAUGAAAGGUCAUCCAAGUAAAAUUGGCAAUGGUGAAGAGUGGGCUGAAUCCUCCAUGUCAAGCACAUAGAAAUCUGCAGGAAAAAUCAAGUGGUCUACUUGCACCAAAACAUCUUCCAAAACUCUUUUCGAGUAUGCAUUAGUUCGAUUGGCUAAUUGAAUAAUAACACCAUCAUUUUUAAGCUCUCCUAAAUUCAUAGAUGCAUAAACAGAAUAUGGCAUAACAUUAAUUGAUGCACCUAAAUCUAGCAUAGCAUGUUCAAACCUUGUAUUACCAAUUACACAACGGAUAGUGAAACUACCUGGAUCUUUGCAUUUAGGUGGCAGCUUUCUUUGCAACAUUGCAGAGACAUUCUCACUCACAUGUACCACCUCUUUCUCUCGAAUCCGUUUCCUUGUUGUACAAAGCUUCUUAAAAAACUUAGCAUACUUCAGAAUUUUCUUUAUGGCAUCAAGGAGCGGGAUAUUGACGUGCACCUUCCUAAAAAUCUCCAUAAUGUCUUUUUCAUCCUCUUCGUUCUUAGAUUGCAUAAACCUGCCAGGAAAAGGCACAUUUGGUGGAAUAACAUGAGAAUUAACCGAAUUGGAACCAACCUUACCUAAAUUGGCCGAAUUGGAGGGUUUAGGGGGAUGCGGCAAGGGUUGUGCAAUCCUUGUCAUGGCCUUGACUUGUUCCUCCUUCUCGAAUUGUAGUUUCUCGUCCUCUUUUGGGCUUGAUUUGGAUGGUUUUGGGUCAGUUCCAACUUCUUUUCCACUUCUCAGCGUGAUUGCCUUGGUGGUUUCAAAGCUUCUUUUUGGAUUGACGAUGGUGGAGCUUGAUAGACGCAUAUUUAUGCGACUUAGUUAACUAGUUUUCUUGCAUUUACGUUAUUAGUUCUUAGUUAUUUUAGUACUUUAAGCCAUUUUCGUGUGUUUGUAGGUCCAAAGGGCUAAGGUAGCAAGAAAGUGCAUUUUGGUGCAUUUUGGAGCAGUUUUGAGCUUGGAAUGGAUUACAUAUGAUAUGAGCAAGAUGGAUGGACGAAUUUGAAGACAAAAGAGGCUAAGAACAUGCUAAAAAUCUGGUGAAACAAAUACAAGUUGCAAGAAGGGAUAAAUUUCUAAAAGGAUUGGCCAAAACUUCACUCAAAACACAUCAAUGCCGUGACUUUUACUUCCACCUCCACCAGAAAUUUGAGUAAUGAUGCAAUGCUUAAAUCACCAUGACAUGUGAGUGGAUGAUGCAAUGCUUAGCUAACCAUGACAUGUGAGUGGAUGACUCAAAACCUACCCCAACAACAAUUCCCACUCUUGCCGUGACUUACCUACCCAUUCCACCAGAAAUUUUGUGCUUAAACAAGUCCAUCAUCUCCCUAUAAAUACCAUGCAGCAAACCUCAUUGAAUUCAUCCAGAAAUUAACCAUUCUCCAAGCCUUUCCUUGCCUCUCCUACAUAUCUAAACCCCUUCCCAUCCAUUCCUCCAAAUAACCAACCCUUCAACAUCAUUCCAACCUUGUUGUGGCGGCAAGGAGAAGGAGAAAAGUCCUUGGACGCGCUUGCUAUCCAACAUGGAUCGUUGGAACAUUUAGGUGCUUUCUUCCCUUUGUUUUUCAAUGGUUAAAUUUGUUUAUCUUUGUUUUGUAAUAAUGAGGAACUAAACCCCCUUGGCUAGGGGGGGAUUCAAAACCAUGUUUAUGCUUGCUAUAUGAUUUGAUUACUUCCAAUUGCGUUUCUUGAAUUGUGAAUUCAAUUUACUUAUCCGUUCGUAUAAAAACUAAUUUGCGUAUGUUGGUUGAGAGUGCACGCUUAAUUUUCAUGCAUGAAUUUGACGCUAGAAUAUAAGGGAGUUUCACCUAAUCGUUAUGAACUUAUAUUCACAAGUAGUGAAGGUUGCUAGUCACAAUCACGUUAAGUAAAUUCUUGGCAUAAGUUUCAUGCAAAUCAUAGUAACGAGUGCCUCGUCAAUGCUUAUGUUUUUCAUAGAACUUAAUGAUUCUUGCUUGUAUCUCUAUUAUGCAAUUCAUGUAGGGAACUUGUAGGGAGUGUUUUGGGUUGUCGUAUGCAAUCAUCCCAAUCUAAUAACUUGUUGAAAAACUGAGAGUUAAUUAGUGCAAUUCACGGUUAAUUUGGGGCGUUGAGUAUUCAUAACUUAUCGAAGAGCAAUUGGAAAUCAUUUUGUAUGCAAGCAAGACAUGUGUGGAGAAGAACCCCUUAGCUAGCCUUCCAUUAUCCAUUCAACCCAAAUUUGUUUAAAAUCUAUUUAAGUUUUUAGUUUAUUCGUUUUUACUUUCAACUUCACCAAACUCAAAUCCCCCUUUUACUUUCUUGUUUUAAAAUCUUUUGUUUACAUUUUUAACUUUGUUUCUUUUUGUUUUUUGAGUUAGUUUAGAGGUUUUAGCAAGCCCUCCUAAUCCUCGGUUUAGAACGAUCCCUACUUACAUACUUUGCUACAAUUGUCAAAAAGUGGGUUUAAUUUGUGUGUCAAGUAAUUCUCGCAUCAGAGCUAGGUAGUUUCCCUUCUUCUUUAAACUGCCCCAUGAACUCCGCCAUCUGCCCAAUUUGUUUCUUCAUUUUCCCCAUCUAUUUGGCUUGAUUUUGGAGUCCCUGAGUCAAAGAAGUUAGUUUUGAAAGAACUUUAUCAUUGUCCAAGGACGAACCUGAAUUUGUUUGGGCAGAUUGUGGUGGAGGUUGUGGUGGUGCGUAUGGCAUUUGAUAUAUCCUAGAGGGUGGCUGUUGAAAUCCUCCUUGUUGUUGAGAUUGUUAAGGUUCCUUCCACUUGAAGUUUGGAUGAUCUCUCGAGCCUGGAUUGUAAGUGUUGGAGUACGAGUCAUUUCGUAGCUGAUUUUGGCCUUGAUAUCUCACGGCAUGGGCAGUUUCCCAUCCUCCAUUCUCAAUCAAUUGAGGGCAUUGACCAUUGAGAUGCCCCUGUAUUGAGCACAUUCCACAUAUGGCCGCACUUUGCACUUUGGAUCCAUCGACAACCUUUGACAAAAGAACAGUAAGAUUAGCCAUUUGAGAUUGAAGUUCAGAAAUUGCACUUACCUCAUUAACAUGUUGCUGCCGCGGGGGCACCCUUUGUCCAACUCCUUCAUAUUGUUAUGCAUUCAAGGCUCAGUUGGUAAUUAAGACCUUUGCAGCCACCGAUGUUUUAUCAACCAAAGCACUUCCUGCUGAAGCAUUAAGCAUUUAUCUCUCAAUUGGAAGAAGUCCUUCGUAGAAAUAUUGAAUUAAAAGCUUCUUAUUCAUCUGGUGUUGUAGGUUCAUAGGCCUUAUGAAGUAAUAAGAUGCAUUUUGGUGCAUUUUGGAGCAAUUUUGGGCUUGGAAUGAAUAGCACAUGCAUGGAGCAAGGUGGAUGGACGAAAUUGAAGACUAAAGAGGCUAGGAGUGUAAAGAUGACCAAAAUCUGUGGGAAUGAUGAUUUUUAACAUGUCAUGUUUCAUUAAAAAUCCCUGAGGCAAAUGUUGGAAGGUCUAGGUUGUGUUUUGUUUGUUUCGUUUGUUUUGUUUUGCUCGAGGACUAGCAAAAGCUAAGUGUGGGGGAAUUUGAUAGAGCAUAUUUAUGCGACCGAGUUAGCUUGUUCUCAUGCAUUUAUGUUGUUAUUUCUUAGUUAAUUAUGUAUUUUAAGCUAUUUUCGUGUGUUUGUAGGUCCAUAAUUAUAAAGCAAUAAGAUGCAUUUUGGAGCAGUUUUGGGCUUGGAAUGAAUAGCACAUGCAUGGAGCUAGGUGGAUGGAUGAAAUUGAAGACUAAAGAGGCUAGGAAUGUGUUAAAGAGAAAGAAGAAUUAAUGUAAAAAGGACAAAGAGCUCAGCCACAAAGGGGUGUCACUACACCAUUCACCUUUCCAUCAUUGUCGUGCACCACCAUUGCACUCCCUUUGGAUUCCUAUGCCGUGCAUCAUCAUCAAUGUUCCCUCCAUUGUUUUUAGUUACUGACUUUGUUUCUGUUUGUGUUUUUUUUUUGGUUUUACUUUUGAUAUUUGAUUUAGUUUUGUUUCCUUGAUUUCAGAUACUAGAGAAGUAAGACAUGGAUUUUGCUACCCUUCAAGCUUAAUUGGCAGAACUUACUUCUCAAUUGUCACAAUAUGCUGAAAGGACCACAAUGCAAAGUGUCCCUACAUGUGGUGUGUCCAAUGGGCAAGGAUAUUCAAUUCAGCAAUAUUCUCAAUUUGCUGCGAAUGAAGAUGCUUAGGGUUAUCAAGGCCAUAGCCAAUCAUGGGACAACAUGUUUUCCAACGCUUACAAUUCGGAUUGGAGAGAUUAUUCAGAUUACAUAGAACCUUAACAAUUCCAACAAGAUGGAUAUUGGCAGCAAGAAGAGGAGUUCCAUUCAAGACCUAUGCAGCCUGUUGGAAAUGUGCCCUAAAACCAAUCAUAUGAUGAUACUUUACGGACAUUUCACAUGUUAAACUAAUCUAGUUUAAUAUCAAGGGCAAAGAUUAUUGUUUUAAGCCGUCUCAUAUAAAUGUUAUAUGCUUAUGAAGGAAAUUUUGUGAAAAACAUGUUCAUUUGAGCAACAUCUAUAGCAUGCAAUUAACAAAUUAAAGGCGGAAUCAUGCUUGCAUGCACUCAAAACAAAACAUUACCCAUGAAAUUCAAAGCCUAGUAGUUAGGUGAACCAAGACUCAACUCAAAACAAAGUGAGUUGAGAAAUUUAUACCUUUGUUGAUUCCUCUUUGCAUAAGCAAAGGAUAAUCACCCAAGAGAUAGGGCCUUAAUUCCUUGCUUCUUAGCUCCAUGGAUUUGGAUGGAAGAAUUGGUUUCUCCAAGUUCUCAAAGUUGAGAACCUCUAAGUCUCCACACCAAGGUAAGAUUUUAAGAAGAAAUGAGUGACCUAGAGGAAGUAAGAUUGCUAGCUAUUUUCCUCUAGGGUGGCCGGCCUCUUUAGAGAGAAAAGAGAGCUUGUGUUCUCAUCCUUUCCCCAAAAGAAAACCCUAAAUGAAUUUUGGCUAUAAAGUCAGAUUUAUACCUACAUUAAUUGGAGUGGCAAACUUGUAAUUAAGUCCAAAACCCACUCCUUUAUCAAUAUGGCUGGCCAUAGGGUUUCAUUGGGCUUUUUAGGCCUUUGUGAAUUAUUUGUCAUUAAGUUGUCAUACAACUUAAGUCAAUGGGCUUGACGUUCGAAGCCCAUUGGGCCUUGAGGCCCAAAACUAACCCGUGGUCUUUUAACGAACUUUAUUCGUUUGAUUAAUUAACAUAUUAAUUAAUCCUUGCCAUAAAUAACUAAACCAUUUAAUUAUCCUAACUCAUCUCCUUCGUUUCUUCAAUCUCUACCUUACACGGUGUACGAUCCAUUAGGUUCCUUUUAGCGAGGCAGUGGGCAAUUAGAACUCUUUCAAAUUGAUUGUGAAUUGAAACUUACUUUCAAUUCUCCCUUUAGUGAAUAUACACGUUUAGGGCUUCCACAAACCAUGAGUGACACCUAGCAGUAUGUCAUGGUUACCCAAGCUAAUCAGAAGAGGUGGAGUACCUAUUCAGUUUAAGAUUACAAUGCAAUACGGUCUUUCUCUAAUACAAUACUCUUGACCACAUUGUUUGGUUUGAUAGUUUAUUCAUGCCUACUAUCCAAUGUGAUGCAUUUACUUAUAUGAUUACCUUGAAUGUGAUUUAGAACGACUUCUUAAAUCUCAUUCAUACUCUGGCUAGAGAUUCUUAAUCAUAUGAUUAAGUAUUCUCCCUCAAACGUUUUGAAGGUUAGAGAUCCCUUGUUGUGCAUUCACUUGCCUCCAUGGCUAAGUGGCUUAACCCCAACUAUGCCGUGGACACCCUCGGACGGGGGUGACUUUGACAUAGUCAAAGAUCAAGGACCUAACCACAAGGCAACUAUGAUGCCUCAGGUCAAAGGACUAUUUGCAUUAUCCCAACCAUGAGUUCUCAUGUGACAUGAGUAUGAGAACUCCUCGUUGAUUGUGUUCAGUGGACUCAUUCAUUAUUGAGCACCUACAUGCUUGUCUUGGUGUCAAUCACACCAAUGACUCGAGACUAGUCACUCUCCCUAAGAGAAGACAUAGCAUGUACUGAUCUUAACGGAUUGUCAAUGCCCAAUUGACAAUCCUAUGAUCAGGAACGUUUAGGAUAUGUAUACAAAAGAGAAUGGUCUCAUUAAUCUAACUUGUUUAAAUUACAUUCUCCUCAUUACAUAUUCCUUGGACUUAGAGUUUAAACAUAUAACAUUUAUAUGAAACGGCUUAAAACAAUAAUCUUUGCCCUUGAUAUUAAACUAGAUUAGUUUAACAUGUGAAAUGUCCGUAAAGUAUCAUCAUAUGUUUGGUUUUAGUGCACAUUUCCAACAGCUUAAACGAUAAGUCCAAGGAAUAUGUAAUUAGGAGAAUGUAAUUUAAAGAAGUUAGAUUCAUGAGACCAUUCUCUUUCGUAUACAUAUCCUAAACGUUCUUGAUCAUAGGACUGCCAAUUGGGCAUUGACAGUCCGUUAAGAUCAGUACGUGCUAUGUCUUCUCUUAGGGAGAGUGACUAGUCUCGAGUCAUUGGUGUGAUUGACACCAAGACAAGCAUGUAGGUGCUCAAUAGAGAAUAAGCCCACUAAACACGAUCAACGAUGAGUUCUCAUACUCAUGUCACAUGAGAACUCAUAGUUGGGAUAAUGCAAAAUACUCCUUUGACCUGAGGCAUCAUAGUUGUCUUGUGGUUAGGUCCUUCAUCUUUGACUAUGUCAAAGUCACUCUGUCAGAGGGUGUCCAUGGCAUAGUUGGGGUUAAGCCACUUAGGCAUGGAGGCAAGUGAAUGCGCAACAAGGGAUCUCUAACCUUCAAACCAUUUGAGGGAGAAUACUCUAUGAUAUGAUUAAGAAUCUCUGGCCAAAGUAUGAAUGAGAUUUAGGAAAUCGUUCCAAAUCACAUUCAAAGUAAUCAUAUAAGUAAAAGAAUCACAUUGGAUAGUAGACAUGAAUAAACUAUCAACCCAAACAAUGUGGUCAAGAGUAUUGUAUUAGAGAAAGACUGUAUUGCAUUGUAAUCCUAAACUGAAUAGGUUCUCCACCUCUUCUGAUUAGCUUGGGUAACCAUGACAUACUGCUAGGUGUCACUCAUGGUUUGUGGAAGCCCUAAACAUGUAUAAUCACUAAAGGGAGAAUUGAAAGUAAGUUUCAAUUCACAAUCGAUUUGAAAGAGUUUUAAUCGCCCACUGCCUCGCUAAAAGGAACCUAAUGGAUCGUACACCGUGUAAGGUAGAGAUUGAAGAAACAAUGGAGAUGAGUAAGAAUAAUUAAAUGGUUUAAUUAUUUAUGACAAGGAUUAAUUAAUAUGUUAAUUAAUCAAACAAAUAAAGUUCGUUAAAGACCUCGGGUUAGUUUUGGGGCCUAAAGGCCCAAUGGGCUUCGAACGUCAAGCCCAUUAACUUAAGUUGUAUGACAACUUAAUGACUAAAUAUUCACAAAGGCCCAAACAGCCCAAUAACACCCUAUGGUCUGCCAUAUUGAUAAAGGAGUGGGUUUUGGACUUAUUACAAGUUUGCCACUCCAAUGAAGGUAGGUAUAAAUAUGACUUUAUAGCCUUUUCUUGAUUAGGGUUUCUUUUAGAGAAGAUGAGAACACAAUGUCUCUCCCUUUCUCUCUAAGAGGCCGGCCACCCUAGAGGAUUUCAGCUAGCAAUCUUACUUCCUCUAGGUCACUCAUCUCUUCUUCAAGUCCUACCUUGGUGUGGAAAAAUUAGAGGUUCUCAACUUUGGGAACUUGGAGAAUCCUUUCAACCAUCAUCAUCCAAGAAAUCCAUGGAUCUAAGAAGCAAGGAAUGAAGGCCCUCUCCUUGGGUGAUUAGCCUUUGCUUAAGCAAAGAGGAAUCAAUGAAGGUAUAAAAUCUCUCAACUCACUUUGUUCUUGAGUUGAGUCUUGGUUCACCUUUCUACUAGGCUUUGAAUUUCAUGGGUAAUAUUUUAUUUUGAGUGCAUACAAGCAUGAUUCCGCCUUUAAAUGUUAAUUGCAUGCCAUAGAUGUUGCUCAAAUGAACUUGUUUUUCACAAAAUUUCCUUCAAGUGGUAUCAAGAGCCUAGGUCUAGUAGUUGGUGAAUUCUUUUGGGUUUUUUUAUUUUCGUAGUUUAUGAUUUGAAUGUUGUAAUUGUGACAAGCUUUAUUCUUGCUUCUUUGAAUGUAAAUUUUGUUAGAAAAUUUGUCAUCUCAAAUGUUGUAGAUGUAGUUCAUAUGAGCAUGAAUUUUGGAGCUAAAACUUGGUGCCAUGUUUUUGGGGAAACUCGGCCAAAUCCAAAGGAUGGAUUUUAGGGUUCAUGUUUGUCUUGUUAAAAGUGUUUUAAAGUGACAUUAGGAACCCCUAAGUACCCUAGUAUGGUAAUAUGUUUUUUCCCUUAAGUUUGAGAGUUUUUUGGGGUGUCUUUAGGUGAAAAAUGUUCAUGGAGCUCUUAUGGGUUUUCAUGGAUGUUCUUCAUUGUUCUUGUUAUGUUUUUGGCAAGAACAAAAAGGUUGGGUAUUUUGAUUCAAAAGUUGAAUAAAGUUUUUGUUUGUGAUGGAUGGUUUGAAUUUUCAAUAAAUACCAAUACCAAUCACUUACACAUUUUCCUUGUUUCAAGGAACCAUGUUUUAUGGAAACCUACUUUUUUCAAACCAACCCAUCACCUUUUCAACCCAUCACCUUUCACUUUGUUGAAAAAUUCAAAAGUUUUUAUGACACCAUCACUCUCACCAACCGGCCACCCUAUUAAAAUAGGGUACUUUUGGGGGGUUUAUGCAAUUACAUAAAGUUUUGAUACUUUUGUGUAUUUGUACUUUGAC